Molecule: long non-coding RNA, 2880 nt
Organism: Chrysemys picta bellii (western painted turtle)
Lineage: Eukaryota; Metazoa; Chordata; Testudines; Emydidae
Source: RefSeq, a predicted model, not a curated record
CGUAAUUGAACAGCCAGCUCAUGAACUGCAGCUUCAUUCAAAGGGGGGCUGAAACAUUCCAUCCGUGUAAAAUGACAUCCGUUUAAAAGUGGCAAAAAAUAAUCUUGUUCAACGUAUGAACCCUAAUGGUCACUUGCUCCCUCCUAUGCCAGCAGCAGUGUUUUUGUGGACAUGUUGGUCCUGGGAUAUGAGAGACAGUGGGUGAGGUAAUAUCUUUUAUUGGACCAACUUCUGUUGAUGGAAGGGACAGGCCUUCAAGCCUCACAGAUCUGUUGCACAGGUCUGAGGAAGAUUCUGUUCACGCAAAACUUUAUGCAUGAAAGGACAGGAGGAAUCAAGAUAAGGGAAAAUGUCAGAAGAAUAUUAUCUCUUUCUACAUAUACUUGUACUUUCUGACUGGCAAUAAGAAUCCCUAUUAUACCUUGCUUUUGUCUACCUUGUUAUGCCUAACAUUCCAAUGCAACAAGAAUGGGGAUGAAGGAUAGCUUUGCUUGAUGCCUUUUCAAAAUUACAAAGUCUUCAAAGUCAAUCCGUUCAGACCGAUAUAGGUAGACAAUACCCAGCAUUCAGUGAACGUGAUGAAUAUUACACUGAAUGCAAAAAUGUAUACAGGGCAACAAAGGAAAAUGUGAUGUUUCACACUGAAGCUUUCACAUGUCUUCAGUGCUUUGUGUGACUUUCUGCCUUCAUUGCUGAAUAUACAUACUUUUUCAAAAUCUAUUGAAAGAGCUGCCAAAAAGGUAAUUCACAUUUUUAUGGGAGGAGGGAACAAAACAUUUAAUUAUAGUGUUAAAUAUAGCAAGAGUUCCCCUCCACUCUUCCCAGAAAUGCCCUUUUCUUUCAACAAAUGAUUUUUGGAGAUUGUGUGUUUUGAUUGAAACUGCCAGAUUUCGCUUUGUUAAAGUCAGAAUUAAUAAUUGGGGUUGCUAGCCACACAAAAGCAGAAAGAGAGAGAGAAAUAUGUUGCCAAAUCCUCAGCUGGUGUAAAUUGAUAUAGCUCCAUUGACGUGAAAGGAGCUGUGCCAGUUUAUACCAGGCAAGGACCUAUUGAAUUUUACAAGAAUGCUGUCCUUAAUUAUUUUUUAAAAUGCAGGGCCAGAGGUUUAAUCGCAUCUAUAAUUUCUCUCAUCAACCUAUCUAUAUCCAAUCAUGCUAACGUUUUGCUCACCUUCAACUUUUUUAAAAAGCAUUUCUUCCUGGUUCUAAACAACAUAAAUUUGGUUUCCUCAUCAAGAAGCUCAUUUAGCUGCAGCUUGAUUGCAAGUAAUUUGCCCUAACUGUCUCCGUGUUUUAAUUGUUUGUGCCUUUUUCUAAUCUAUAAACUGUAACUUCAGGCAGGCCAUUUUUUGUCUUACCAUUUCCUCUUUGGAAAGGCAUAUCUAAUAACCCACCUCAUAUCCUGUGGCUUUAGGCAUCUGAAAUCAUAUGAACAGAAGGAAUAGACUCUCCAUUCAACUCCACAUUCAUUUAAAAAAAAACCCUCCAUAAAAUCUCUUUCCUUUGAAAAAGGAAAAUUAAAACUUCAUCCAGGAAAUUUAGUUUCAUUUUUGUUGGGAAUAAUUAUGCAUCACCACCAAUACAGAACUGACUAGCCACUCAGGUUCCACAAUGUUUUCCUGUGAUUUCUGAAAUGUGAAAAUCAAAAUACCAAUUUGGGCACAGCUAAAAUAUUUAAAUUAGCCAGAGUCCAGUGAAUGUUAUUCCCACAACUCCGAAUUGGCACCAUUUACUCUACUGGAGACAGAAUUCACGAGCUCAUUAGAGUCUCUGGACUUACUCAAGUAAAGCUAUGCAUUAAGAUAGCCUUUUUAAAGUAAUGUCAUUAGGAGCUCUACCAACUAUGGUAUCCAUGCCAAAUCUCUUUAAUUCCUUCAGCCUAAUUCCUUUUGCCCCCAAAGUAAAUCACAACAUAUUACCCAGAUUAGCAAUACAUUCAGGAGUAAUCCGCCCCCAAACAUGAGAGUUCUAUUUUUUUUUCUGAUCUCCAAACUUUUGUUUGUGUUAAUUAUUCUAAAGCUAGCUGACAGAGUGAACAAUACUCUUUCCCCCUCUUUUGUGAAUAGCAAUGAAGGUAUUUGCGUAACUAUUUUUUCUGUCACAAAAUAAGGCGUUUCCUUUGCAUUUUUCUGAUCAAACCCCUGCUCCUGCUCUCAGAGAAGUCAAUGGCAAAGCUCCCAAAUGAAUGUUCUCAGCUUGGUCUUCUUUUAGGGCAUCUGAACAGAGUGUACAACACACACAGGAAUUAGGCAGCCUUGGGAUAGUGAAAGAAGGCCAAUAAAAAUAAUAUUUCUAAGUUUUGAAAGAUAAAACUCCCAGGACAGGCAUUUUAUCAUGUGAUCUCAAGCCUCUGGUUAAGUAUUGUAUUUUGUCUGAUGGGUGCUGGGGAUUCUAUCUAGCAGAGAGCUUUCAUAAAAAGGAAUGAGAAGUAUUUUGUGAGUUGAUAAUAAACAUUUGGAAAGCUUUAUCACUGCUGAGAGAUAUUUUCCUUUCCAGUGUUUAAACCGCUACAAAUAACAAGAAUAAAUUAUGAAAUGAAGAUUGCUUUAAUGCAGUUCAGCUUCAGAAAAACACUGUUGUGCUGUUUUAAUUACGUCUUCAUAUCAGAUUUCUGUGAAAGAACCUAUAUUCAUGUACAUAUAUAGGUAAAUACACACACACACGUGUAUACAGUAUAUAUGCAUAUCCCUCAUAACAAUCCAUUUUCUUAAUCAAUAAAAGAAAGCAAUAGAUUGGAGAGCCAAAAGACUUUGCCAGCAUCACCACUACUAAGCCUUUUGGGAAGAGGCUAUAUUGGCCUUGAAAUGGAGUUUCAGUUUUCAAAGCGAGGUGGCUCACUCCAAGUCAGAUAAGUGUAAAAACAGCCACUCAUGUAACUGAAGC